AUGUGGGAUCGGUUGGAUUGUGGGAUUUCUGGCCCGGCCCCAGGCCUCCUCGGAAGGCGAGCCUCUCGCGAAGGCCUCUCUUGCAUCAGCCUCUCCUUGCCUGCCUGCCUGCCUGCCUUCCGCCGCCUGGGCCCAGGAGCUGCGAUCGACCCGCUUCUCCGGAUUGCACCCCAGGAGAGCCCUCUUUCUCCCCCGGAGCCCGUCUUCCCAGCCAGCUACAGAACUGUGAUAAGAUCUGAAGAUGCUCACACCUCCACAGGCAUUAUUUGUUAUAAUGCUGCUGGUUAUUUCAAGUGCCGUGAAAGCUCAAGUCAAUCCAGGUAAGGCAUGAAAGUGUUGCUCUUGUCAGAUCCAGAGAAUAACUAUAUUAUGUAGAGCUUUUUACUUUAUUAUAAGUUUUAAAGCCCAUAAACUCUAAAGCAAAAAGCCCCAAUAUGACCCACCCCAAUCCACGCCCCCCCCCCCCCCAAAUACAGAACUAGAAUACAAAUGAAGAAGAACAUUGGAAACACAAUGGACUUCCUCUCAUAAGGCAAAGGCAACUAUCACACUCUUACACAUACUUCUAGUACUAUUUGGUUGCGUUCAAACGGCGGCUAAACAUAAACCACUAUAUUUAACAUUAAUACCCAACCACAAGUAACUCAUAUUAACAAUUGAUCCAUUUUCAUUAAAAUUUCAAAUCUUAUAAAUAUUAGUAAAUUCAUCUUUAAAUGAUUACCUUAACCCCCAAUUUUUCCCAUUUAAAUGAAAUUAAUCAUAUCUUAUCCUGUAUUACCACCAAUGUUACCCUUUUGAUCAAACUUGAUCUUAUUGUAUUCCAACAUUUUAACAUAAUGUCUUAUUAUUUAACUUUAAUUCUCAUUCAGUUUCAUUACUCCACCUGUCUCAAAUGAUAUUAAUAUAGUUUAAAUGUUUUGUUCCCCCCCCCAUUUUUUUCCUUUUAAUCUAAAUGGAUUCCACAUUUCUUAAAUGCAGUAUCUUACUGUAUUUCCCUUUCGUUUUAAAUGUGCAUAGAUAAUACAAGCAGCUUAAGCAUUUUGUCUAAAGUUUAAUUUUUGUAAUUUCCUAUUAUAUAUUUCCUUUCCAUUAUAUUUAUUUCAUCAAUCCACCCCCUACAACACUCAAAAGAACCCGUUAAUUCAUUUUAGCCCUUCCAGGAUUCUCGAUGUGUUUUUCCUAGUCCAGUCUCAGUGCUUUUAUUACAAGCCAAGCCCUACUUCAGGUAACAAUUUGCCCAUUUAAUUUUUAUGUGCUUCUCUCAUCGAAAAGAGCGCUCCAGGCAGCCUUUCAGAAUUUCUCUGUGCAAAUUCUCUUUCUUGUAAACUUGAGCAUCUUCCUGUAAUUUUGCAUAUGAUGCUUUGUUUAUCCUUAUUCUGAAGGUGAAUUUGUAGCCACUUGUCUGUGGGAGAUAGGGAAGGUUAUAAAUAACUAGCUGUGCCCAGCUACACGUUGCUGUGGCUUAUGGGAAUCCUUUGUUGGCCAGGUGGAAUAGCAGUGAACGGCUCUUCUUCAUUCCCCCCCACCCCCACUUUCUAAUUGGAUGCCUAUGUUUUUUUGUGUGUGUGAGGAGGGAGGGAAGCCCCUCCAAGAAGAACAGCCCUGACAGCUGGCUCUCUCUCUACCUGCUCUUCUCCAAGAAAGUGUGGGGCUCCCCUGUAAACACAGCCCCCCCCACCCCCCCCCCCCCGGGCAAGUGCAGAGAAUGAAGGGAAAAGAUGGGAGCAUACCAUUCUGGCCAAAAAGGGGGGGGGGGGGGGAAGUGAAAAAUAGAUAUUGGCCAAUCAGUUUUGGGGGGGUGAGUGAAGGACAUACCUUGGAUGUGUUGGUGUAUUUUGGCCAAAUUUGGUGGCAUUUGGUCCAGUGGUUUUGUUGUUAACGCGGUCCUAAUUACAUUACAUAUUUUUAUAUAUAGAAGUAUUAUUAUUAUUACAUAAUUUGUUUUUGGAGCCUGGCUAUUCAAACAUUGACUCUUCUUUAUGCAGUUUCAAUUCAUCUGGUAAUCCUUGAUCAAUCUGGUAUUCAUCUGGUAAUCUUUGAUCAAACUGGUAUUAUUUAUCUGGUAAUCCCUGGUAUGCUACUUCUUGUUUUCUUCUUGUUUUUUUGAAGUUUGUUUUGUGGCUAUUAAAACUUACUUAGCUUCAGAUAGUAUAUUUUAAUGCUCUGCUUAAGACUUGUCUCUGUUUGAAAAAGUUUAUUUUAAAAUCCAGUAAGUUCUCCAAAACCUCAAGCUGUGACAUAUUGGGUCAGCAGAAACAAAAUCCAAAACUAGAAAGGGUUAUUCUUGUACUAUGUGUUUUGUUUAUGCAUUUUAUAGUGGUUUGUUUGA
Anolis carolinensis (green anole) is the source of this 2329-nucleotide long non-coding RNA. Lineage: Eukaryota; Metazoa; Chordata; Lepidosauria; Squamata; Anolidae. The record is from Ensembl.